RNA transcript from Mercurialis annua (annual mercury), 1528 nucleotides. It is a transcript of the gene named protein SLOW GREEN 1, chloroplastic-like, with no coding region annotated. The record is from RefSeq and is a predicted model, not a curated record. Lineage: Eukaryota; Viridiplantae; Streptophyta; Magnoliopsida; Malpighiales; Euphorbiaceae. The transcript has 3 exons.
CAUUAUUCUCUUCUUCAUCAUCAGCACAGGGGUUUUCACAUUUCUCUUCUUCUCCGUUUCAUCUUCAUUAGGGUUUUAGCAUUUUCUCCGCUACCAUGGAUUCACUUGCUAAACUACACUGCAGUCACUCACCUCUCCACCUUUCCUUCAAUCCCAACCGUCCAUUUUUCUCCAAACCCAUAGUUUCCCUCCCCACCAUCAAAACCCCAUCACCACCGUUCAAAAUCACCUCCAUCAAAGCCACCUCAUCAUCACCACCAAACCCUAAACCCUCACUUCUCCAAACCCUAAACCCUAUUCUCAAAACCACUUGCAUCACUCUCACUGCCACCGCCGCUCUUUUCUUCUUCAAUAAAUUCCGCAUUCAACCCGCAUUUGCCGCCGUUCCCGUCACCUCCCCGCCGCCUAUAAUGGAGCCCGUAAACGAAGGAUCAUCAUCAUCGCCAGGUUCGUCUUUUUCGAAUAUGUCAUUGGAAGAGCAAGAGCGUGUUGUGGAAGAGCAAUUAGCUAGAAACCCUAACAAUAUUGACUCUUUGAAGUCGCUUAUGGAGGUUCGGAUUAAAUCCCGGAAGCUCGUACAGGCAAUUGAAGUGGUUGAGCGUUUGAUUGAGUUAGAGCCUGAUGAGGAGGAAUGGCCAUUGCUAAAAGCUCAAAUCUUUAGCUAUAGUGGAGAUUUUGAUUCGGCGAGAAAAGAGUUCGAGGAUAUACUCGACAAAGACCCGCUCCGUGUAGAGGCGUAUCAUGGAUUGGUUAUGGCACAUGCUGAAACUGGAAGUUCAGUUGAUACUGUAUUGAAGAGGAUUGAAUUUGCUAUGGAUAAAUGUAAGAAGGAGAAAAAGAAAUCGGAUUUGAGGGAUUUUAAGUUACUGAUUGCACAAAUUAGAGUAAUGGAGGAGAAAUAUGUAGAUGCUUUGAAUGUUUAUGAGGAGUUGGUGAAGGAGGAACCAAGAGAUUUUAGGCCCUAUUUGUGUCAAGGGAUUAUAUAUACCUUGUUGAGGAAGAAAGAAGAGGCGGAGAAAAAAUUUGAGCAGUUUCGGAAGCUUGUCCCGAAAAAUCAUCCUUAUCGGGAGUAUUUUCUCGAUAACAUGUUUGCAACUAAGUUCUUUUCUGAGAAGGUGCAGAGAGAGGGGGCAGGAGCAAGUGGUUGAGCUCACCGGGGAAUGAACGUAGAGCAUGAAGAAUUUAUGUGCGAUGGAUCCAAGUGAAUACAACGCACUGCUGGUCUUCAUGAUGGGGUUGAGCUGAGCGUUGCCCAGUUAGCUAUUUUUGAUUUUACUACAAGAGAUGACACAGUUAAAGGUGAACUUUUAGUUGGUGAACCAAGAAAGUUGAAUUAGCACACAUGCAUUUCAAGCAGGUCCUAAUUGCAGCAAUCACUUGAUGAAGUCAUGCUCUCUACAAUGGCUUGUUUGGCUAAUUGCACGAUAAUAUUUUACACAUCUUCAUCUUUGAUUGCAAUAUAAAUGUGCAAAAUAAAGUUUCAACUUUAGGUACAAGUUGUUUUCAAUAUCAUUUGCUUUUGUUGUUU